RNAcentral lists this non-coding RNA (46 nucleotides) under Schistosoma margrebowiei. Lineage: Eukaryota; Metazoa; Platyhelminthes; Trematoda; Strigeidida; Schistosomatidae. The record is from RNAcentral.
GCACUGAUGAGGAGUCCCACAAUAGGACGAAACAGUUGUCCAGUGC